Non-coding RNA from Durio zibethinus, 4552 nucleotides. The record is from RefSeq and is a predicted model, not a curated record. NCBI's taxonomy places the organism in Eukaryota, Viridiplantae, Streptophyta, Magnoliopsida, Malvales, Malvaceae.
AUGACCUCAUAAAAAAAUAUUGAACCAUUCCUAUUCAAUGUUGAAUAUUCAUCUGCUUUUGUAAAAACCUUCCGUUCAAAUACAGUACAAUUACUUUCCAUCAAUGAGCUAUUAAUUCGAUAUUAUCGAAAACGAUUUGGCAUAUUCAUUUACUUAAAUAACAUAAGCCUUUGGAUUCAAUCCAAAAUUCGUAAUGCAGUGUGUUAACUAAUAUUAAGUGAUUUGGCAUUUAUGAAAAAAAAUGUUAGAAUUACUAACUACUUAAGUCAAUGCUUAGACUUACUUGCUAAGGAAUUAGAAACCAAAGAAAAAAAACCCAAUAACUUCAUUACUAGCUUAAAUAUUGCUUUUUGACAAACAGAUUUUAGAAACACAUAACCUGAUUCAUGAUUGGCCUGUCAUCGCAAAACGCCGAAGCACUCCGUGACGCGACAACGUCCGCGUUAGUUUUAAAAAUUGAAACGUCAAAUUACGACGUUUAAGGGAGUGGCAGUCCCGAUAUUAACGAAACCAAUCGGGACCAUUAUCGUCAAUCCAUUCUCUGGUUUUCUGUUUUAAUUUAAACCACGCCAACGGCCCUUUUCAACUCUCCUGUUACCAACCCUUUUUUUUUUCUUUUAGUUUUGUUACUCAUUUUUAUUUUACAGGUCUAGGGUUUCUCUUCGUAGAAAAUGUUGCAGAAAACCUCUUUUCCUGUCUACAAGUUGGGGGAGUUUUCGGAGCAACUAUCCAGGUCAACCAUGGCUUGAUUCUUUGAUUUUUCCGGUACAAUUCUCUCUUCAAACCCCCCUGUUUAUAGCCAGUUUUACUUUUACCUCUGAAGCUGGUUUGCUUUGAGUGAUCUUUACCCCUUUUUACAAUAGCUGGACACCUGAAAACUUGAGAUUAUUCAUUUAAAGAUUGAUCUGGAGCUGGUUUUGUGGUGUUUUGUUGAGCUUAUUAUUGUUUUAUUGAGUUGCUUUUGAUGGAUGCGUGGGGUAUUUUGAGUGUUGUACCUUUGUUUCUUGAAAUUGCUUCAACUAAUAUCAUAAUUUAAAUUGUUUUUUUGGGGAUUUCUAAGAGUUGCUAACUUACAAGGCUUUUCCCCUCUUUUCUUUUUCCCUCUCUGCUUCCAAAUCUAGUAGCUGAAUGGAAUAUGCUUCCGUGUAUGCCAUCGCUGCCUUUUCGUGUUUGUUUUUCUUUAGUGUUUUCUAUACCUGAAAUGCUUUCUUUUUUGCUCUUUUUUAUUUUUUUCCUAACCCAGGGGUUUUCUACGGGUGUUGGUUUGACCAACCAAAAUAGAAGCCUCUUUCUUGACCAUGUGAUUUUCUUAUAGGGUUCCCCUUGGAUUAUUUUAUUAUCUCUUUUACUUGGCUCUUUUAAUUAAGUGACUGGUGCUUGUUAUGUGCUACUCACUUAUGUAUGGUUUUUUUCCUCCCAUUUUAAGUAUGACCAGGAAAAAAAGGUUUUACUGGAGAUUCAUCAAUCAAUAAUAGGUUGCCCAUUUUUACUUUCUCUUGUUUGACUAGUAAAAUGAAAUCCUUGGUGAGCUUUGCCGAAGCAGUAGUGGAUGCAUAAAAUUUAUGCUGUCUACUUUUACAGGGGUGGCAUUCUUCAAGUGGAUAUGUAUAGUAUUUCUGAACAUCCAAAUGCAGAAACAAUCCUGAUUCAAGUUUCUUGGCUAAAACCACAUAGGAAAAGUCCACUUCUUGAACAAGUAUAAGCUAUGUACCAGGAAGGAGCGCCUGAGUUUGUUAUUGAUCAGGGAAUGUACUACCCUACUGCCACCAACUAUGGAUAUAACUGUACUGGUUUUGAAUCACCCGUUGAAUGGGAGGACCACCAAAAUAUUUUUAGUGCGGAUGGUCCAGAUGUCCAAUAUGUGGGUGCCCAAACUGAAACUUUGCCUUAUGUAUGUUACACACCUAGCUAUGGAUAUGCACAGUCUCCAUACAACCCAUACAAUCCUUACAUUCCUGGUGCUGUGAUGGGUGACAGCCCAUUUGUAGGGGCACCACAAUAUUACACUGUUCCCCCUUAUCAAAACCCCAUAUCUCCAACUGCUUAUGUUCCUUUUGUUAUUCAACCUGAUCGCAUUCGAAAUAGUUCAACAGAAUCUUUGUUUGAUACUCAUGCUUCAAUUGCUAAUAGACCUGAUGGAAGAGGAGUUAAACAUGGUCUUGCUUCAGCAUCUGUAGUGUUUCCUAGAAACACUUCAAAGUCUGCUCCAAAUCAGACAGAUUCCAUGAACAGGGUAUUGGAUGGACAAAGUAAGCAUUCUGCAGUCCAUGGAAACUUUCUUGAUAGUUCUGGUCCAGCUACAGCACGUGUUCAUCAGGGUAGAAUUGCUUCUGGGUCCAUUCAGCCCAUUGGCAACAUUCCUGGUGGGAAACUUUCAUUUCAUCGUUUUCAAUUAAAAAUGGAUCUUCCUGUUGGUAAUGCCUUCCCUGACUAUGGAUCAAGUGCUCCUGGACUUGGUGCACUGGAUAAUCUUCAAUCCAAGAUCCAUGUUGGCAGGGUUUUGAGUGAUGUGCAUGGAUUCCCAGAUACAUUGGGUGAACAGAAUCGAGGUCCUAGAACCAACAGAUUAAAAAACCAACUCAUGGUUAAAGCCUACACAACUAAAGCUGGAAAUAGUGAUGAUGCUGAAGGAAACGUCAUUAUCUAUACUGACCAAUAUAACAAGGAUGAUUUUCCAACUGACUAUGUUGAUGCAAAGUUUUUUGUAAUAAAAUCAUAUAGCGAGGAUGAUGUACACAAGAGCAUCAAAUACAAUGUUUGGUCAUCUACACCACAUGGGAACAAGAAACUGGAGAGUGCUUUUGAAGGUGCACAGAAAAAAGGUGUGGGGAAACCUAGCGGCUGUCCGAUCUUCCUGUUCUUUUCUGUUAAUGCCAGUGGACAAUUCUGUGGUGUUGCGGAGAUGAUUGGCCCAGUUGACUUCCAGAAGGAUAUGGAUUUUUGGCAGCAAGACAAGUGGAGCGGAAGCUUCCCUGUCAAAUGGCACAUCAUUAAAGAUGUUCCAAAUAGCCACUUUAGACACAUCAUAUUAGAGAACAAUGAAAACAAGCCAGUGACUAAUAGCAGGGAUACACAAGAGAUAAUGUACAAGCAAGGUAUGGAGGUGCUGAAAGUAUUCAAAAAUCAUACAAUGAAGACCUCUUUACUUGAUGACUUUAUGUACUAUGAAAAUCGUCAAAGAAUCAUGCAAGAAGAGAAAGCCAGGCUACUAAUUAAAAGAUUUGACAGCCCUGUCCUAGCACCUGCAUUGGAUCCUGUCAAUAAGCUAAACCAUGUUGAGCUACUUCUGAAUGACAAGGAGAAAACUGCCAAGCAAAGUGAUCCUGACAUGUUGAAGAGAACUGUUCCUUCAUCUAGUCAGCAGGUGUCUGCAGAUUCUGAUAUAACUAAUGCAAGAACAAUGGAUGAAAAUUUAGAGCAAAUUGCUAACAAUGCUGCAGCUACUUUAAAGAUUGGCUUGCUCACUAUAAAUACAAAGCAGGAUGAGUCUAAACCUUCUGCAGAUGCUACAGUUGGUGCUAUGAAUGCUACUGCUGUUGAGGUGGUAACAGUAGGAUCAAUGCCUCUGAAAGUCAAUGGUUUUGCUGAAUCUUCUGGUUUUCUAACAGUUGGUACUAUUCCUCUUAAUCCCAAGAUCCUGCAGCUUGGGGAAGGAGGUGUUUCUGCUAAAAGGUGUACCACUAAUGGUACUGAGGCUUAUGAUUAACUGGGGCUUAUCUGUCGGCUGGAACAUACUCAAACCUGGUUGUUAUGAUGCAGUCUUGACUGUUGUAAACCUGAGUGUAUCAUGGUACUCAUUGUUACAGAAUUGUUAGUGUAAAUACUUGUUCAGAAUUCUUACUUGAUUUUGGGAGCUUUAUUGGAUCAUGGUUCUAACAGAGGUUGCCAUAUAUAUUGCAUUGUGAUUGGAAAGGGCAAAAUUGUUCCUUAAUUUGUGAGAGUAAAGAAGUGGAAGAAGUGGGUAUAAUUUAGAAAUACUCCGUAAAGAUGCACUAGAUGAUGCGAUGUCGUUUACGUCUAAUGACUAAUGAUAUAUCAUCAAACUCUCUAAUUCUAACGAGGAAGAAGCAAGACUCACUCAGUCACCUCUGAUGGCAAAGCCAGAUGUUAGACAGACUGUGUUAACACAGGAUGAUGAGUUUUUGAUCAUUGGUUGUGAUGGCAUUUGGGAUGCAAUGUCAAGCCAGUUUGCUGUCAAAGGCAGCAAGAUGACCCGGAAGAAUGUUCCAGAGAAUUAGUCAAUGGAGCAUCUUGCCUGAAUUCAUCAGAUAACCUCAAAGUAUAUGUUACCUGCUUUUCCUCCCCCGCUCAUGUUGAGUCUUGUCCUGUCCAACCUCUCUGAGGAGGCGAGGAAUAGAUUGAAGAGCUUGUUAGAAUGCAAUUGAAUGUAAACAACAAUUAUUUCUUGUUUAUUUACCGUUACUCCUACUGGGAGAAAACAUUGCAAUCUGUUUUUGGCUGAGUUUAGAAAAAGCAGCCAGCAGUCUUGUAGAAUAUCAGAGGCAUUUUUUUUAAUCAUGUUAUGGGCGUCUGGUCUGGAGGUGUAAUUAUU